UACGUAGGGUGCAAGCGUUGUCCGGAAUUAUUGGGCGUAAAGAGCUUGUAGGCGGUUUGUCGCGUCUGCUGUGAAAAUCCGGGGCUCAACCCCGGACUUGCAGUGGGUACGGGCAGACUAGAGUGUGGUAGGGGAGACUGGAAUUCCUGGUGUAGCGGUGAAAUGCGCAGAUAUCAGGAGGAACACCGAUGGCGAAGGCAGGUCUCUGGGCCGACUACUGACGCUGAGAAGCGAAAGCAUGGGGAGCGAACAGG
RNAcentral lists this ribosomal RNA (254 nucleotides) under uncultured bacterium. RNAcentral's name for it is "partial 16S ribosomal RNA". It matches the Rfam family "Bacterial small subunit ribosomal RNA", at positions 524 to 776 of the family's 1533-position model. The record is from RNAcentral.